RNAcentral lists this ribosomal RNA (586 nucleotides) under uncultured bacterium. RNAcentral describes it as "partial 26S ribosomal RNA". The record is from RNAcentral.
AGUCUGCGCUAGCAGCGUCGAGCCGAGCGCGUUCCUCGGUCCGGGCUGGCCGCAUGGCACCCUCGGCUAUAAGACGCCCCGGGGGGCGUUACAUUCCGAGGGCCUUUGACCGGCCGCCCAAACCGACGCUGGCCCGCCCGCGGGGAAGUACACCGGCACGAAUGCCGGCUGAACCCCGCGGGCGAGUCUGGUCGCAAGCGCUUCCCUUUCAACAAUUUCACGUGCUGUUUAACUCUCUUUUCAAAGUGCUUUUCAUCUUUCGAUCACUCUACUUGUGCGCUAUCGGUCUCCGGCCAGUAUUUAGCUUUAGAUGAAAUUUACCACCCAUUUAGAGCUGCAUUCCCAAACAACUCGACUCGUCGAAGGAGCUUCACACGGGCGCGGACACCCCAUCCCAGACGGGAUUCUCACCCUCUAUGACGGCCCGUUCCAGGGCACUUAGAUGGGGGCCGCUCCCGAAGCAUCCUCUGCAAAUUACAAUGCGGACCCCGAGGGGGCCAGCUUUCAAAUUUGAGCUCUUGCCGCUUCACUCGCCGUUACUGAGGCAAUCCCUGUUGGUUUCUUUUCCUCCGCUUUUUGAUAUGCA